RNAcentral lists this ribosomal RNA (431 nucleotides) under uncultured Elusimicrobium sp. Its description in RNAcentral is "bacterial SSU rRNA". It matches the Rfam family "Bacterial small subunit ribosomal RNA", at positions 958 to 1385 of the family's 1533-position model. The record is from RNAcentral. Lineage: Bacteria; Pseudomonadati; Elusimicrobiota; Elusimicrobia; Elusimicrobiales; Elusimicrobiaceae.
AACGCGAAGAACCUUACCUGGGCUUGAACUACUGGUAGUAAGUCCUUGGAAACAGGGGCUGAUCCGCAAGGAAGCCAGCAGAGGUGCUGCAUGGUUGUCGUCAGCUCGUGUCGUGAGAUGUUGGGUUAAGUCCCGCAACGAGCGCAACCCCUCUCUCAUGUUGCUAUCCCCGCAAGGGGAGCACUCUUGAGAUACUGCCUUCGAUAAGAAGGAGGAAGGUGGGGACGACGUCAAAUCCUCAUGGCCCUUAUGUCCAGGGCUACACACGUGCUACAAUGGCCGGUACAACGGGAAGCAAUACCGCAAGGUGGAGCCAAACCCUGAAAGCCGGCCCCAGUUCAGAUUGUGGGCUGCAACUCGCCCACAUGAAGGUGGAAUCGCUAGUAAUCGCGAAUCAGCAGGUCGCGGUGAAUACGUUCCCGGGCCUUGUA